Molecule: ribosomal RNA, 490 nt
Filed under: uncultured bacterium
Lineage: Bacteria
Description: partial 16S ribosomal RNA
Rfam family: Bacterial small subunit ribosomal RNA
Source: RNAcentral
GAUGAACGCUAGCUACAGGCUUAACACAUGCAAGUCGAGGGGCAGCAUGGUCUUAGCUUGCUAAGGCCGAUGGCGACCGGCGCACGGGUGAGUAACACGUAUCCAACCUGCCGUCUACUCUUGGACAGCCUUCUGAAAGGAAGAUUAAUACAAGAUGGCAUCAUGAGUCCGCAUGUUCACAUGAUUAAAGGUAUUCCGGUAGACGAUGGGGAUGCGUUCCAUUAGAUAGUAGGCGGGGUAACGGCCCACCUAGUCUUCGAUGGGUAGGGGUUCUGAGAGGAAGGUCCCCCACAUUGGAACUGAGACACGGUCCAAACUCCUACGGGAGGCAGCAGUGAGGAAUAUUGGUCAAUGGGCGAGAGCCUGAACCAGCCAAGUAGCGUGAAGGAUGACUGCCCUAUGGGUUGUAAACUUCUUUUAUAAAGGAAUAAAGUCGGGUAUGGAUACCCGUUUGCAUGUACUUGAUGAAUAAGGAUCGGCUAACUCCGUG